CAGCACUUGAAGAGGUAUUUCCCUUGAAAUAUUUGUAAAAGAAAAAUAUUGUACUCUGAAAAGCACAAAUGAAUAAAAUAACGCCAUUCUUUACACAAUGAUGUUAUCUCUAUUAUGAAUGUCACUUCUCUUUGAAAAAGAAAGAACAGAAUAUGAAGACCCUGAGACAUAGAGACCUCAGAGGUAGAAGACCGGGAUCCCCAAGAUCUCCCGGAUACAAGUCCAGGAUCCCCAA
This 235-nucleotide long non-coding RNA is filed under the name Manihot esculenta (cassava). RNAcentral's name for it is "long non-coding RNA (MESC_LNC007253)". Lineage: Eukaryota; Viridiplantae; Streptophyta; Magnoliopsida; Malpighiales; Euphorbiaceae. The record is from RNAcentral.